UGUGUAGGCGGUUCUUUAAGUUUGGUGUGAAAUCUCCCGGCUCAACUGGGAGGGAGCGCCGAAUACUGAGGGACUAGAGUACGGGAGAGGAAAGUGGAAUUCCUGGUGUAGCGGUGAAAUGCGUAGAUAUCAGGAGGAACACCGGUGGUGUAGACGGCUUUCUGGACCGUAACUGACGCUGAGACACGAAAGCGUGGGUAGCAAACAGGAUUAGAUACCCUGGUAGUCCACGCCCUAAACGAUGCAUAUUUGGUGUGGGCAGUUCAUUCUGUCCGUGCCGGAGCUAACGCGUUAAAUAUGCCGCCUGGGGAGUACAGUCGCAAGGCUGAA
RNAcentral lists this ribosomal RNA (330 nucleotides) under uncultured bacterium. RNAcentral's name for it is "bacterial SSU rRNA". It matches the Rfam family "Bacterial small subunit ribosomal RNA", at positions 568 to 898 of the family's 1533-position model. The record is from RNAcentral.